Molecule: ribosomal RNA, 347 nt
Filed under: uncultured bacterium
Lineage: Bacteria
Description: bacterial SSU rRNA
Rfam family: Bacterial small subunit ribosomal RNA
Source: RNAcentral
GGACCCGCACAAGUAGUGGAGCAUGUGGUUUAAUUCGAUGAUACGCGAGGAACCUUACCAGGGCUUAAAUGUAAGUUGCAUAAGUUAGAGAUAGCUUUUUCUUCGGACUACUUACAAGGUGCUGCAUGGUUGUCGUCAGCUCGUGCCGUGAGGUGUCAGGUUAAGUCCUAUAACGAGCGCAACCCCUGUUGUUAGUUGCCAUCGAGUAAUGUCGGGAACUCUAACGAAACUGCCGGUGCAAACCGUGAGGAAGGUGGGGAUGACGUCAAAUCAUCACGGCCCUUACGUCCUGGCUACACACGUGCUACAAUGGUCGGUACAGAGAGCAGCCACUACGCGAGUAGGAG